UGAACGCUGGCGGCGUGCCUAACACAUGCAAGUCGAACGGAGAUGUCCGCCGAUGAAGCUUCGGCCGAAUCAUGGAACAACUUAGUGGCGGACGGGUGAGUAACGCGUGGGCAACCUGCCCUGCACUGGGGGAUAGCAGCUGGAAACGGCUGGUAAUACCGCAUAAGCGCACGGUACUGCAUGGUACAGUGUGAAAAAUUCCGGUGGUGCAGGAUGGGCCCGCGUCCGAUUAGCCAGUUGGCGGGGUAACGGCCCACCAAAGCGACGAUCGGUAGCCGGCCUGAGAGGGCGGACGGCCACAUUGGGACUGAGACACGGCCCAGACUCCUACGGGAGGCAGCAGUGGGGGAUAUUGCACAAUGGGGGAAACCCUGAUGCAGCGACGCCGCGUGGGUGAAGAAGUAUUUCGGUAUGUAAAGCCCUAUCAGCAGGGACGAUAAUGACGGUACCUGAGUAAGAAGCCCCGGCUAACUACGUGCCAGCCGCGGC
Molecule: ribosomal RNA, 489 nt
Filed under: uncultured bacterium
Lineage: Bacteria
Description: bacterial SSU rRNA
Rfam family: Bacterial small subunit ribosomal RNA
Source: RNAcentral